GACGAACGCUGGCGGCGUGCUUAACACAUGCAAGUCGAACGGAAAGGCCCCCUUGUGGGGUACUCGAGUGGCGAACGGGUGAGUAACACGUGAGUAACCUACCCUUGACUUUGGGAUAACUUCAGGAAACUGGGGCUAAUACCGGAUAGGAGCUCCUGCUGCAUGGUGGGGGUUGGAAAGUUUCGGCGGCUGGGGAUGGACUCGCGGCUUAUCAGCUUGUUGGUGGGGUAGUGGCUCACCAAGGCUUUGACGGGUAGCCGGCCUGAGAGGGUGACCGGCCACAUUGGGACUGAGAUACGGCCCAGACUCCUACGGGAGGCAGCAGUGGGGAAUAUUGCACAAUGGGCGGAAGCCUGAUGCAGCAACGCCGCGUGCGGGAUGACGGCCUUCGGGUUGUAAACCGCUUUCGCCUGUGACGAAGCGUGAGUGACGGUAAUGGGUAAAGAAGCACCGGCUAACUACGUG
Molecule: ribosomal RNA, 465 nt
Filed under: uncultured bacterium
Lineage: Bacteria
Description: partial 16S ribosomal RNA
Rfam family: Bacterial small subunit ribosomal RNA
Source: RNAcentral